This 87-nucleotide ribosomal RNA is filed under the name Henckelia grandifolia. RNAcentral describes it as "partial 5.8S ribosomal RNA". It matches the Rfam family "5.8S ribosomal RNA", at positions 73 to 154 of the family's 154-position model. From Rfam's summary of the family: 5.8S ribosomal RNA (5.8S rRNA) is a component of the large subunit of the eukaryotic ribosome. It is transcribed by RNA polymerase I as part of the 45S precursor that also contains 18S and 28S rRNA. The record is from RNAcentral. Lineage: Eukaryota; Viridiplantae; Streptophyta; Magnoliopsida; Lamiales; Gesneriaceae.
UGCAGAAUCCCGUGAACCAUCGAGUCUUUGAACGCAAGUUGCGCCCGAAGCCAUCAGGUUGAGGGCACGUCUGCCUGGGCGUCACGC